UACGUAGGGUGCGAGCGUUGUCCGGAAUUACUGGGCGUAAAGGGCUCGUAGGUGGUUUGUCGCGUCGUCUGUGAAAUUCCGGGGCUUAACUCCGGGCGUGCAGGCGAUACGGGCAUAACUUGAGUACUGUAGGGGUAACUGGAAUUCCUGGUGUAGCGGUGAAAUGCGCAGAUAUCAGGAGGAACACCGAUGGCGAAGGCAGGUUACUGGGCGGUUACUGACGCUGAGGAGCGAAAGCAUGGGUAGCGAACAGGAUUAGAUACCCUGGUAGUCCAUGCCGUAAACGGUGGGCGCUAGGUGUGAGGGUCUUUUCACGACUUUCGUGCCGUAGCUAACGCAUUAAGCGCCCCGCCUGGGGAGUACGGCCGCAAGGCUAAAACU
This 381-nucleotide ribosomal RNA is filed under the name uncultured bacterium. RNAcentral describes it as "bacterial SSU rRNA". It matches the Rfam family "Bacterial small subunit ribosomal RNA", at positions 524 to 901 of the family's 1533-position model. The record is from RNAcentral.